GAAAUGCGAUAAGUAAUGUGAAUUGCAGAAUUCAGUGAAUCAUCGAAUCUUUGAACGCAACUUGCGCUCUCUGGUAUUCCGGAGAGCAUGCCUGUUUGAGUGUCAUGAAAUCUCAACCAUUAGGGUUUCUUAAUGGCUUGGAUUUGGACGUUUGCCAGUCAAAUGGCUCGUCUUAAAAGAGUUAGUGAAUUUAACAUUUGUCUUCUGGCGUAAUAAGUUUCGCUGGGCUGAUAGUGUGAAGUUUGCUUCUAAUCGUCCGCAAGGACAAUUCUUGAACUCUGGCCUCAAAUCAGGUAGGACUACCCGCUGAACUUAA
This 316-nucleotide unclassified non-coding RNA is filed under the name uncultured Cutaneotrichosporon. Its description in RNAcentral is "sequence contains ITS1". The stretch from base 1 to 105 matches the Rfam family "5.8S ribosomal RNA", at positions 50 to 154 of the family's 154-position model. RNAcentral also lists the same sequence under 1 other name. Lineage: Eukaryota; Fungi; Basidiomycota; Tremellomycetes; Trichosporonales; Trichosporonaceae. The record is from RNAcentral.